RNAcentral lists this ribosomal RNA (492 nucleotides) under uncultured bacterium. Its description in RNAcentral is "partial 16S ribosomal RNA". It matches the Rfam family "Bacterial small subunit ribosomal RNA", at positions 29 to 507 of the family's 1533-position model. The record is from RNAcentral.
AGUGAACGCUGGCGGUAGGCCUAACACAUGCAAGUCGUACGGCAGCACAGUAAGAGCUUGCUCUUACGGGUGGCGAGUGGCGGACGGGUGAGGAAUACAUCGGAAUCUACUUUUUCGUGGGGGAUAACGUAGGGAAACUUACGCUAAUACCGCAUACGACCUACGGGUGAAAGCAGGGGAUCUUCGGACCUUGCGCGAUUGAAUGAGCCGAUGUCGGAUUAGCUAGUUGGCGGGGUAAAGGCCCACCAAGGCGACGAUCCGUAGCUGGCCUGAGAGGAUGAUCAGCCACACUGGAACUGAGACACGGUCCAGACUCCUACGGGAGGCAGCAGUGGGGAAUAUUGGACAAUGGGCGCAAGCCUGAUCCAGCCAUACCGCGUGGGUGAAGAAGGCCUUCGGGUUGUAAAGCCCUUUUGUUGGGAAAGAAAAGCAGCAGGUUAAUACCCCGCUGUUCUGACGGUACCCAAAGAAUAAGCACCGGCUAACUUCGUG